This is a long non-coding RNA of Argiope bruennichi, 4806 nucleotides long. RefSeq lists it as uncharacterized. NCBI's taxonomy places the organism in Eukaryota, Metazoa, Arthropoda, Arachnida, Araneae, Araneidae. The transcript is spliced from 3 exons. The record is from RefSeq and is a predicted model, not a curated record.
CAUGGUUGAUCUGUGGCAAUCUAAGCUGCGUGUAAAUGAUGGAAGUGUGGCGUAGUUGUCAAGCGAAAGCAUUUGCCUGCAAAUGAAGUGGCAUACCCGAUUAGAAUGUUUUAUCCUGCUGGGUAACAUGACUGUGUAGCAUAUCUGGGAAAGCUCUGCCAUGCUUCAGCCUGCUGUGUCCAAAUUUGAUUGUGGUGAUUUUUCCAAUAGUCAAUGCCAUCCUUGAUAUCCUUGGAUAAGAUCGUAAAACAUGCAUGAUUCUUUCAAAUGCAUAGUGCAAAAAAGACCUUGACUUUUCAAAGAGUUCAAUCUAGGACCAAGUCUACUGAUGUUAAAUUUGCUCUGGUGUAAAAUUUGCAUUGUUCCCUUCUGAUAAACCAAAAGUUGCCUGACAAGAUGCUUGAAUCCUGCUUAUUUAUGUUAAAAUGGACGAAAUGCCUUAACCGCUGGUUAGAUACUUAAAAGAAUAUUCUACGACUUCAUGAAACUGGAUACUCCUUGCUGUAAUCUUUUCCUGAAGCACAAGAACUUCCAAAUUCGACCGAGUAUGGAUACGCAAGACAUUUCUGAUCUUCUCAAACUUGAGACUUCAAUGCUUCAUAAAUAAGCCUGAAUGGGAAAAUUGGCUUGUCAUAGGUGAUAUUUCAUUUAAACUACCUCUGUUGAGUUCAGAAAGUAUUGUACAUUUUUGGAGCAAGUUCACAACCCUCUUUCGUUGGUCAUUAAAACUGAAUUUAUAAUUUUAAUUCUUGUAAAUAUGGUGUAUUGAAGCAAGUUCUUCAUAUUAAGACUAUAUUUCGCUCCAAUUCUACAAACAGGUAUGAGCUCGUAAAAUCAAUUUAUGGUCUAAACCAGAUAAUGAUUCAGAGAUUUAUUUCAUCAAAGUAUUUUUCAUGAACUUGAAACUUGGCUUCGAUUUUGGGACCUGAAUAAGGAAAGUCUAGAGUGAGUCCAAAGCUCAAACUAAGCAAGCGUUCUAACUCAGAUGCGAAACUUAAAUGCAGAAUCUAACUUUGAGCAUGGGAUACAAGAAAAAUUCUAAAAUCUUCCAGUAUUUCAUACAUUAGUAAAAACAUUGAAAAACAUGCGAGAGCAAUUGAAAAUUUGUCUUUGUAUACGAAAGCUAUUUUUGCUUAUGUAAUAUUGAGUGUCUAGCUUGCACCUGGAUUAAGUACAUCGUUGUGCAUCAAACAAGUACAUUAGUGUUUAAGUACCAAGGAGCCUGACCUACUAUUAGGAUAGAAACUUGAAGUUCGUGCAUUACAUUUUACAAAUAAACUGCGACAGAAAUCUAUUAAAAUAGAUGCGAAAAUCGGAUUCAGUCUAAUUAUCCCACUUAAAUAUAUGAAAUUCUGAUCGAAGUCUGCACCGACAUCGUUAGUUCAACCGGGGAUUCCAUGAAAGCAGUUCUUGGUAAAGCAGUACCGACUAGUCAUGCUACUUCAGACAUGAAUAUUUGUCGCGAGCAGUAAUAGAAUUUUCUCUCAAUUCAAUGACUUUUAGUUCGUGUAUAACGAAUUGUAUUUGAAGUUGAUUUCAAGUAUGAAACGCUUUAAUAAAUAGAAAACAUACUGAAGCUAAUAUGUUUGAGCAGGUAUAACAAGUGGGUAUCUUUUUGAGCGUUUAACUGUGCAUGUGAUUUUGCGCGCGACUGUAAACUCCAUAUAAGCCUUUGUGCUAGUAUAAGCUAUUUUCGGUGUAUAUUGAGUAAUUAAAUUAAUUGCAAGCGCGAAUACGGUGAUAUAGAAAUCGGUUUUUUCCAAUGUUGAAAGUAUGAAGUUAAGUUUCUUUAUAAGAACUUAGUGCCUCGCUUUUUAAACUACAGGGAGACUUCAUAACGAGUUUCGACGUGAAGUGGGGUGAAGUUACAAGAAUUGUGGGGAUACAUCUUGAAUAGCGAAAGUAUAUUAUGGAUAUUGGCAAGUAAAAUGGGUUAAAACAUUCAACUUGAUUAGAAACACUGCAUUAAUGUUUUACAGAACUAACAUCUAACCUAUAUAUUUCUGAAUUAGUCUCGCUUAUGUUGCAUUAAUAUUCGGAUUGAUUUCUCUUAAAUGGGGUUCACUGAGAAUCUUUAUUAAAAAAGGCCCUUAAGGGUGGAAAUGAAGUUCUGAGGUAAGACGUUGGGGGAGGAAGCCGAGACGGGCCAUCUGAACAACCUUUCCCUACUUCGCGAAAGCUAGAGGGCGGGAUAGGCGCCAGCCGGCUGGUAAGAGGAGGGAAUUCGAUAGCUAUACAGUCAAUCUCACCCUAAUUCGUAUUAUACUGAAGCUUAUCUUAUACUUUCAGCCUUGGAAACGCGAGUUUGAAUUAAGAAUAACGAAUAGGUUAACUACUUGAGGUUUCCUAUUACUGAUAAUUCAUUUCCUUUCAUUAGGUAGAAAAAUGCAAAAAUGAUAAAGCAAAGCCCAAAACUCCGGUCGAAAUAUCUAUUUUCCUAAGCGAUAAGAUAUCUCAAAUUAUUUUUGUAGGAACAAAAUUCCAAAUAUUCAUUGCAGUUGAAUAGCUAGUUGGUACUGUGUCGCCAAAUCCUACUACUUCGUUAAGUAGGCAUUUUAUUUUUAAUAAAAUGAUUUACUCAAUUCCAUAUUUCUCACAAAUGCAGGAAACAAAUGGAAAUUGUCUAAAAUUAUUUUCUAAUGAUCUGAUCAUAGCACCUCUAAGAAUACUUCUUAUUGCAACUGUAGAUGGGUUUUUCUUGCCAUAUGGUAUUCUGCUGUUUUGCAUUUAUACAUUCAACUGCUGUAGCAAUGAAUCUUCUGUACUCUAAAGUAAUUGGAUGCGUAAUCUAUUGAAAAGAAUUUAUUAUAGCUCUUAGACUCUUCUUAUUAGUAACGAGAUUAUGCAGCUUCAAAAAGGAUGGAUGUAAGAAACUGGUCUACAUUCAGUUGCAAUGCUGUAAUAGAAAUGCAUUAUACAAAAUGUAUCAUAUUGGAGAACUGAAAUUACAAUUCUUAGAAAACACUACUGUGUCCUCAUUUAAGUCCGUGCAUUCUUACUUGCAAUGAUUAACUUCGAAUAAACUGUUCUAUAAACGAAACUGUUUAAUUUGGGAAAAUAUGCUAAUCUACUCUUCUGAUAUCCGAGUCAACUUAAGUUUGUAUUUUUCUCUUUAACUUGGUUUCUAAAGAAUUCAGCAGUGAGCUUUAUAUACAUCCAAUUAUAUGCAACAUAAUGAAUUUCAUUUUAUAUUUAACAUGAAUUAAAACUGAUGUUAAUGCCCAUUUAACUUCUAUGCUUUCAAGUUCAUUUACACGUGCAAUUCGCUACAUAAAUGUGUACACUGAAAAGUGAUGAAACUUGAAAAGAACGGUUAUAAUGCUAAUCUAAAAUUCAUAAUUAUACCAAACAAUAGAUUGCAUCGAUAAAAUUAGAGUAAGUGAAACGACUAUAUUGAAUAACCUUCAGUACUGUGAACUCAUUUUAAGAUUGCCGGUUCGUAUUAGAGGAUAAACUUCAUUUAUUUAAGCAGUUCGAAAAAGUUUCUGGAGAAAAUGCAAAAAACUGAAUUGAAUGGAACAAAUGAAAUGAUAUUAAGAAUGCCCAUCACAUGAGCCGUAAAGAUUUUCAAGCUAUUAAGUGCUGUUAUUUAAAACUACUAAACAGAAUGAAUCAUAACACAAGUUAACUGCGAAAUUUUGAAAGCUAAUACUUAAAGCUAAUUAGUAAAUUUCCCUGCAAAUUAGUGAUGGAACAUUGUUUUACUAUCUGCCAGGUUGAAUAACUCCUUAAACAUUUGCAUAUUUAGGCCCGAGAGAUGGGCAAGUGCAUUAAGAUCUAAGGCUUAAGACACCAAGGAAAAUUAUAACAAUUUUCGCAGCAGGGAACUCUGCAAUUCGGGUCAUAAUCGAAUAUACUAUUAAACACUUUCUGGUAUGACCUAGCUCUGGGAAAAUGUCUCUUUUAAUUUGUGUUGAGUUUAAAGCAAAUUUCAGUUAUUAAAAAUUUAAUAUCAGCAAGUUUUAGCUUUAUUCAAUAGUCGUUCGAAAGGAAUUCGAUCAUCCGAAAAUUCAGUUAAAAAGCGUAUUAAAAUUUUGGAUCAGUCGUCUUGGCAGGGUUGGUGAACUGCUCCAGUACAACAUGUAUUUAUUUAGAACUAUGUUCUCUUAGUAAUAUAGCUGUUAAAUCAGAGUACUCAAUUUGUGGUUUUAGAUUAUACUUUUCUGCAAAAUGUCGAUAGCUAUGUAAACCUCAAAGAUCCGUAACAUUCUGUGUAAUCUGAACAUUGUUGUAUUCAAUGAAACAUGAAGUAUGAUUUUACUUGGAAACUUUAAAACUUAAGUUUUAUGAAAUCAGCUGCUUAAAGGUAAAACUUGUGUAAUAUGUUCAAAUUGACCAUAGUAAGGCUGGGUGAUUGUAUACCUACAAAAAUGUGUUUUAUCUUAAAAUGAGCAAGAUUCGUACAUUUUCAUGCCUAUUCAUAAAGAACUUUUCUAAAGAUGACUUUAAAUAUUUUCUUAAUAAGCGUUUGGAUAUUAUAAAUGUUUUAAAGUUUCUUCUUCCUAUAAUCUUAAAAAUGUGUGGCUUAUCUGAAAUUCCUUUUGAAUAUUUAGCUGAAAUGUUUCUGUAGUCUUAACUUCUAAAAUUACAAAUCUUUUAUUGACUAUAAAAAUUUUAUUUAGACAAAAAUAAGUGUUUGAAAUGAAUGCUUCCUUCAUUUGUUACUCAUUAUGCAAUGCAUAAUUAUAUUAUACCGAAUUUUGUAUGGUGGAAGCAUUGGCAAUGACGCUGUAACCAAAUAGGUAAUCUGUCAGAUUUAAUAAGCAAAACCUUCUCGAUUGGUCUCUAUAUAAACUCGUAUAAUGU